This 119-nucleotide ribosomal RNA is filed under the name Neolamprologus brichardi. Lineage: Eukaryota; Metazoa; Chordata; Actinopteri; Cichliformes; Cichlidae. The record is from RNAcentral.
GCUUACGGCCAUAUCACCCUGAGCACGCCGGAUCUCGUUUGAUCUCAGAUGCUAAGCACGGUUGGGCUUGGUUAGUACUGGGAUCAGAGACCGCCUGGGAAAACCAGGUGCUGUAGUGG